Molecule: long non-coding RNA, 2459 nt
Organism: Nicotiana attenuata
Lineage: Eukaryota; Viridiplantae; Streptophyta; Magnoliopsida; Solanales; Solanaceae
Exons: 2
Source: RefSeq, a predicted model, not a curated record
CUUUGUAAGUGUGGUCUAAUGAGUUUCACCAAAGAUUUCCCGCAAUUUCUUAAUUAAUGAAAUAAUUCCUCCCAUUUUGAAAGGGAAAAUAAAGGUUUCGGCUAAGUUCUAUUUUGAUUCGCGAUUACCCGUUCCUUCCCCUCCCCCCAAAUUUAUCUUUAUUCUUUCCCAAAAUUAAUCUGCUUACUAACAAUGGAUCUCAGAGACGGAAAUCGGGAACUUCCAUCGGUUGCUGCUUCUAAUUGUUGGAAACCUUAAAAAAAAUUUAGGGCCGUUGAACUUUAAUUUGUGUGAGUACUUUCCUCUCUUCUCUCUUGGGUUUUCGAUUUCCAUUUCAACUAAUGUAUGUUCUCUUUAUUUUUUAGCUAUUGCAUUGUAUGCUUCUUAUUUUUCUCUAUUAUGUAAAAUUUUUGUUGUCUCCUCGCUCAUUCUAGAAUUCUCUUUCUGAUUUUGCUCUUAUUGUGUCGUAUUCUUGUUAUCGUCUCGCUAUUUCUGGUUACCCUUGCUGCUCUAAGGAAUUCGGCAAACCUAGUCUUUGGUGAAUUCAAGUUGGAACAGGAACUCUAACCGACUAAGCAACUCUAUAUAAAGGAGCUGUUAAGUGUUAUUUAUAGUCAGGAAAAAUCUCAAUAUAGUCCAUAUGUCAGCUUGUUCAUUUUUACAAGUAAUUUCCAUACCAUCAUUUGAUGGCUAUUGAAACUUUGACUUCUUCAAACCUUCACUGGCUAUUCAAGUUGGAAUAUUUUUAGCCAUUGUAAGACCCUUUAAUGACAUUACCUCACUGUUUGUUUUGUUCAUUUUAUUUUGCCCCUUCAUAAGGGUUUGUUUUCGAUAAUCCAUCAUAUAUAGGUAGCCGCAGAACCAGCUUUGGCAUUGGCAGGAGUGAAUAAUGAAGAAGAUUUUACUUGGGUAUUUAUUCAAUUGGCAUUCUCUACCUUCUUUACUUCAUUGUUUGCCUUGUAAGUGGGAACAAAAGAAUAGCACAGGACUUUCUAAAAUUAUGCUAGUUUCUUAUACAAUCUUUGUUAUUUAUUUAGUUACUUUGGCAAUUCCUUAAGAUGUCAGAUUCCAGCUUAUCAUAAUGACAUGUAUGAUACCUAUUGAUACAUACACUACAUUUGGGUUUAGUCAUUCUACAAUAUGAACUGUCAACACUUCUCAGCAUUUGGCUGUUUGGUUCGAACUGCUUGUAGAAAAGUUGCAUCCUAUACAAGCCACAUCCAGUUAGGAAUAGAAAAAAAAUAAAGUACAAGAGUUUAAUGCAGAAUGACGUUUUAAUAUGUAUUGUCCAGUUAGUGGAGCUGCGCAUGGGCCAAUAUUUUCCUAUGAAAGCAAUGGAUAACAAUACAAUGCUUAUUGAAACAAGAAAAGGAGAAAAUUAUAGCAUCAAAAGCAUUAUUGCUCCUUAGUUUUAUAUUAGCUUUUGUCAAUGAGCAGACAUCUUCUUUUCUCAAUUGUAAUUUUGUUUGCUUCUUCUUGAUUCAUGUUAAUGAAAUCAUUUUACCUCACGAAAAAAAGAAGAACAUAAUGCUUAACCAGUGGUUGAUGGUUUGCUAGUCAUAGGAGAUUCUAUUUGUGAAUGCUGAACUGGCGAUUGAUAUGUUGCUUUACUUAUACCAGUUGCAUCUUCUCUGUGUAUUUUUUUCUUAUUUUCUCUAUAUUAAACAGUCUCUUUUGUAUUGAUUGUCGGACGAAAAUGAUCCGUACUUUGAAUUCCUACCCUCUGUGAUUCUUAGUUAUCUUAGUUUAUGAAAGAUGAUACUUUCUAUUACAAGCAGUUAUACGUAGCAUAAUGUACUUCAUAUUUUUAAGAGAAUCAAUUGAUUAUCAUUUUAGUCUAUUAAUAUAUUCUUGAUGUGGAUACAUUCUUUGAUGGUAGAUAGUAGUUUUGUAUGAUUUAUUCUAAGAUUUAUACAGUCUUACCACACUCAAGGAUGCUUCGAUUGCUGAACGCAAAGUGAGUAAUAACAAGCAUUUGACCUUCACGAGGAACCUGCAGGAUUGAGAGGUAUGGGGAGGCAAAGAUACUAAAUAGAACAAAGAGAUUACAAUUAGGGAACUUAAGGCCCAGAAACAUUCAGAAGUUUUUGCUGGUUUGAACAAGGAAAGCUCACCUACUGCUUAGAUUAUUGGGUUGGUCAAGCUUAUGAAAAUGGAUCAGUUACAAAAUUACGAGAUUGAUGUGAAGGGUUCUAAGGCCUAAGGGGAUCGCAAAUGGAGUUUCUAAUUUAUACUAGCAUCAGUAGUAUAAUGUGUUUAAGGUGUUAUUCGUGAUAGAAUGUAUCUUAUUUUGUAAAGUUCAUCUCCGGUGGCGACCUUUGAAAAUUUUGCUUUAUUAGUUAAUUUAGUAAGUACAUGAUAUAUAUAUUUCUUUUGCGAAGUUCAUUGCAAGUGUAUGGACUUUGAAUCUUUUCUUUUUGUUUAUUAGUUAAUAUAGUGUUUGAGAUCUUCAUACUUUA